This 460-nucleotide ribosomal RNA is filed under the name uncultured bacterium. Its description in RNAcentral is "partial 16S ribosomal RNA". It matches the Rfam family "Bacterial small subunit ribosomal RNA", at positions 338 to 795 of the family's 1533-position model. The record is from RNAcentral.
CCUACGGGAGGCAGCAGUGAGGAAUAUUGGUCAAUGGGCGAGAGCCUGAACCAGCCAAGUCGCGUGAAGGAAGACGGUCCUAUGGGUUGUAAACCUCUUUAGGCGGGGAGCAAUUCCGGGCACGCGUGCCCGUAGGGAGAGUACCCGCAGAAUAAGCAUCGGCUAACUCCGUGCCAGCAGCCGCGGUAAUACGGAGGAUGCGAGCGUUAUCCGGAGUUAUUGGGUUUAAAGGGUGCGUAGGCGGAAUAUUAAGUCAGCGGUAAAAUGUCGGGGCUCAACCCGGGCCGGCCGUUGAAACUGGUGAUCUUGAGUGGGCGAGAAGUAUGCGGAAUGCGUGGUGUAGCGGUGAAAUGCAUAGAUAUCACGCAGAACUCCGAUUGCGAAGGCAGCAUACCGGCGCCCGACUGACGCUGAGGCACGAAAGCGUGGGGAUCGAACAGGAUUAGAUACCCUUGUAGUC